UUAUGAAUGAACAUGGGAAUGAAAAAAACAUUAAGAUCGACCUUGUUCCAUAGCUGCAGGCAUAUCCUUAAAGCAUCAAACAUAACGUUUAACAAAUGGCCGCAGUUAGCUUCGAGACGUUUGCAGCCAAACACAUUUCGUUCCUCAAUACUUAACACACACCAACGGAAUGCUUCGAUAA
Daphnia pulicaria is the source of this 181-nucleotide long non-coding RNA. RefSeq lists it as uncharacterized. The record is from RefSeq and is a predicted model, not a curated record. Lineage: Eukaryota; Metazoa; Arthropoda; Branchiopoda; Diplostraca; Daphniidae. The transcript has 2 exons.